CCACACCUAAAAAUCUUUCCACGUGAAUUGUUUUGUUGUAAGUUGGGCUUCGCUGGCGUGUUCUGUUUUCGGACGGAGCGCAACGGCUUGAGGCCAUCAGGGCGUUUAUUGUGUCGUGCAGUAUUCGCUCUUUUUGUAAACCCAUUUUUGAUGAAACUGAUUAUACUGUGGGGACGAAAGUCUCUGCUUUUAACUAGAUAGCAACUUUCAGCAGUGGAUGUCUAGGCUCGCACAUCGAUGAAGAACGCUGCGAACUGCGAUACGUAAUGCGAAUUGCAGGAUUCAGUGAGUCAUCGAAAUUUUGAACGCAUAUUGCACUUUCGGGUUUUGCCUGGAAGUAUGUCUGUAUCAGUGUCCGUACACUAAACUUGCCUUUCUUGCGUCGUGUAGUCGUCGCUUGGAACGAGCAGAUGUGAGGUGUCUUGCGUGGUCGUUUCUUUCUUCUUUUUUUUUUUGGAAGCAGACUUGCAAGUCCCUUUAAAGUCGGACGUGUUUCUCUAUUGUGUGCUGUGGCAGCUUUGGUGGCGUGCGGGACGUUGUCUGUUGACGAGUCUGGCGACCUUUGGCGCUUUGCAUUGUGGGGAUUCCUCGAUUGGCGGUAUGUUAGGCUUCGGCUUUGACAAUGCAGCUUAUUGUGUGUUUCUUCUAGCUCGUGCUGUAUGGGGUGAACCGGAUGGUCUUUGGGCGUGUUGUUUUGCGUGUCUGUCUGGAGUUGUGCUGGCGUGCUUUGGGGGCGGUCACCAUUUGGGAACUGAAUGUUUGCAAAAAAACAUCUCAAUUGGACCUGAUAUCAGACAAG
This 799-nucleotide ribosomal RNA is filed under the name Phytopythium boreale. RNAcentral's name for it is "eukaryotic LSU rRNA". The stretch from base 203 to 357 matches the Rfam family "5.8S ribosomal RNA". The record is from RNAcentral. Lineage: Eukaryota; Oomycota; Peronosporomycetes; Pythiales; Pythiaceae.